AGUUCCAGGCAAGCUUGGACUACACGGUGAGACAUUGCCCGCCCCCCAAAUAUGACUAAUCAGAUGUGGUAGAUGGAAGAUGGGGGUGCAGAGUGAAAGCUGCCAGGAGGUAAUGGAGGAGUGUGACUCUGAACCAAGACCUAGCAUCCAAGUAGAGGAAUGAGCUGGGAAGAGAUUGCCAAAUUCAGUCUGGAAGACUCGACUAAAUACAUGUGGACUUAGAAACUGGUGAGGCCCUCUGGGAUUACAGGCCCCUGCACUGCUCCACCCGGCUCUUCGUGGGUUCUGAGGACCAGAGCGCAGUGUCAGAAUUGCAUAGCAAAUGCAUUACUCACAGUGCUACUUCUUCAGCCCUCCCUACUUGUGAACAUCUCUGUUCUGCCAAGUACUCC
Molecule: long non-coding RNA, 392 nt
Filed under: Cricetulus griseus (Chinese hamster)
Lineage: Eukaryota; Metazoa; Chordata; Mammalia; Rodentia; Cricetidae
Description: lncRNA (ENSCGRG00015037316.1)
Source: RNAcentral